Small nuclear RNA from Anopheles nili, 176 nucleotides. RefSeq annotates it as U11 spliceosomal RNA. NCBI's taxonomy places the organism in Eukaryota, Metazoa, Arthropoda, Insecta, Diptera, Culicidae. The transcript has a single exon. The record is from RefSeq and is a predicted model, not a curated record.
UAAAAGGGUGCUUGCCGUUUUUCUACAUUUUCUUAUGGCACAUCUGAGCGUUGCCGAACUGGAAGAGUCCCGGUUAGGCAGACGUUCCGGUGGGGUAUGGCUAUCAAGACAUAUCCAGCACGUAAUUUUUGUCGUCACGAAGGCUGUUGACUCGCUACUUUUGCGUCGACGUCUUC